CGGGGGAUGCAAGCGUUAUCCGGAAUCAUUGGGCGUAAAGCGCCUGUAGGUUGUUUAAUAAGUCUGUUGUUAAAGACUAGGGCUUAACCCUAGAAAAGCAAUGGAAACUACUAGACUAGAGUAUGGCAGGGGUAGAGGGAAUUUCUAGUGUAGCGGUGAAAUGCGUAGAUAUUAGAAAGAACACCGGUGGCGAAAGCGCUCUACUGGACCAUUACUGACACUCAGAGGCGAAAGCUAGGGUAGCAAAAGGGAUUAGAUACCCCUGUAGUCCUAGCCGUAAACGAUGGAUACUACAUGUUGUGUUUAUUUCACAGUAUGGUAGCUAACGCGUUAAGUAUCCCGCCUGGGGAGUACGCUCGCAAGGGUGAAACUCAAAGGAAUUGACGGGGGCCCGCACAAGCGGUGGAGCAUGUGGUUUAAUUCGAUGCAACGCGAAGAACCUUACCAGGGCUUGACAUACUGCGAAUCUUUCCGAAAGGAAAGAGUGCCUUCGGGAAUGCAGAUACAGGUGGUGCAUGGCUGUCGUCAGCUCGUGUCGUGAGAUGUUGGGUUAAGUCCCGCAACGAGCGCAACCCUUGUUUUUAGUUACCAAUUCGUUGGGUUUUCUAGAAAGACUGCCGGUGACAAACCGGAGGAAGGUGAGGAUGACGUCAAGUCAGCAUGCCCCUUAUGUCCUGGGCUACACACGUGCUACAAUGGUUAGGACAAAGAGUUGCGAGCUUGUGAAAGUCAGCUAAUCUC
RNAcentral lists this ribosomal RNA (741 nucleotides) under Dicrateria rotunda. RNAcentral describes it as "bacterial SSU rRNA". It matches the Rfam family "Bacterial small subunit ribosomal RNA", at positions 526 to 1275 of the family's 1533-position model. Lineage: Eukaryota; Haptophyta; Isochrysidales; Isochrysidaceae. The record is from RNAcentral.